CCCCAACACCACGAAGUGCAAAUACUUUGAUCUUUAUCAACAACUAGCAUGUGCAUGAGGGCUGUGAUCUUUCAGCAUUGUGAGGAUAAGAAAAUCUCUAUCUCUUGGAAUUCAUCAUAGAGAUGACAUAAGGUGCCAAAUAGGUCUGUGGAUGGGAAUUCCCAUCUGAAAUGGAAUGAAGGUUGAAGCCAACCAGAGAGGAUGCCUGUCAGCUGGAGAGGUGCGGAGGCCUCAGGCCAUGUCUUGUUAAAUUGGUUCUCCAUCUAUUACCAUGGGGCCCGAUUUUCGUUACCUGUUAACGGUGUAUAUGAAAGACUGUAUGUUAAUUCUGUGACUAACAGAGCCAAUGGCUUCAUAAUUAACUAGCCAGGGGGUGAGCCUUAAUUUAAUUCCUGUGCAAAAAACACUACAGGCAAAACACUCUAACGAGUGUUUAAAAACACCAAUUAUGAAAUGUAAAUUCUGUUCCCACCUCUGGGCCUUGAUUAACUAUUAUGUCAUAAGAUGUCUUUGCCAAUAGAAUACAAGUCCAUAGGUGAAUGUCACAUAAAUACUUUAUCAUUUCUGCUGGUCUGACAAUAAACAAUUUGUGCCAACAAGACUCAUAUGAAAGACAUGUAAUUUCUGAAAAAAAGUCUAAAUUUCAGUUGUUUCUUUUCUUUGAGGGAGAUGAUGUACACCACUCAUG
This is a long non-coding RNA of Anguilla anguilla (European eel), 688 nucleotides long. RefSeq lists it as uncharacterized. The record is from RefSeq and is a predicted model, not a curated record. NCBI's taxonomy places the organism in Eukaryota, Metazoa, Chordata, Actinopteri, Anguilliformes, Anguillidae. The transcript is spliced from 3 exons.